Molecule: long non-coding RNA, 488 nt
Organism: Bufo gargarizans (Asiatic toad)
Lineage: Eukaryota; Metazoa; Chordata; Amphibia; Anura; Bufonidae
Exons: 3
Source: RefSeq, a predicted model, not a curated record
GGACACACCAAAAACAAAUUAUUGGACAGAAGACAAAUUAAAAAUAGAAAGUUUGUCUGAUCAGAGGAUACAUGCAAAAACACUCAUGGCAAGUGAUAAGGAAGGACUACAAGUUGAAGACCUUCUCCAGGCCUGGACUAAAAAUGGAUCUUUCUGCUAACCUGUGGAGAAAAUACACCUUCAGCAGUACUUACCCCUCCAAUGCUCCGCCAAUUCGGCUAUCCCUCCUGGGAUCACAUGACUGUGGGCUCUUCUACUGAUGUCCCAACUGGAUAUGCUCUUCUUUCUUUCUGUUCAGCUGCAUAAUGUAGAUGCAGGAACCACGAGAAAAAUGGAAAGAUCCAUAACGCCCAUUGUAGUCUAUGGGUCCAUGAAAAAACACGGAAACAAUGUGGAUGGCAUCUGUGUUUCGACCAUGUUUCAUGGAUCGUUGCUGGGAGAAGCUUUUGAAAUUAAUUUUCAGCUGACCAGCGUCCGUGCAAUCCGGA